CUUUGAUUCAUCAAUGAAAUUGCGUACGGCUCAUUAGAGCAGAUAUCACCUUGUUCGGAAUAUUAUAUGGAUAACGCGGAAAUACUGGAGCUAAUACAUGUCAUACAUCCCCAACGUAAGGCGGGGUGCAAUUAUUAGAACAGACCAAACGUUUUCGGACGUUGUUUGUUGACUCUGAAUAAAGCAGUUUACUGUCAGUUUCGACUGACUCUAUCCGAAAAGGGUGUCUGCCCUUUCAACUAGAUGGUAGUUUAUUGGACUACCAUGGUUGUUACGGGUAACGGAGAAUAAGGGUUCGACUCCGGAGAGGGAGCCUUAGAAACGGCUACCACGUCCAAGGAAGGCAGCAGGCGCGAAACUUAUCCACUGUUGAGUAUGAGAUAGUGACUAAAAAUAUAAAGACUCAUCCUUUUGGAUGAGUUAUUUCAAUGAGUUGAAUACAAAUGAUUCUUCGAGUAGCAAG
This 463-nucleotide ribosomal RNA is filed under the name Nematoda sp. MMS8. RNAcentral's name for it is "SSU rRNA". It matches the Rfam family "Eukaryotic small subunit ribosomal RNA", at positions 68 to 548 of the family's 1831-position model. RNAcentral also lists the same sequence under 1 other name. Lineage: Eukaryota; Metazoa; Nematoda. The record is from RNAcentral.